This is a long non-coding RNA of Felis catus (domestic cat), 1245 nucleotides long. RefSeq lists it as uncharacterized. The record is from RefSeq and is a predicted model, not a curated record. Lineage: Eukaryota; Metazoa; Chordata; Mammalia; Carnivora; Felidae. The transcript has 4 exons.
GGUUGGAUGUUCUUUGCGAGGCUGCUGAGUCAGAAGCCUGGACGGGCCAGCUGCAGUCUUAAUGAACUGACUCAGGAAGGAAGUGCUUACAGAGAUGGUGUACCGUGCAGUCAGUGGGUGGGAGCAAAUGUCGGCUAGAAGACCUGAGCCUUGGGAAGGGGCGGCCUGAUUCCCCGGGGAAGAGCAUUGGCUGGAAGUCUGGAGGCCUGGGCUGGUCUCUGCUCUGCCACUAACUUGCUGCAUGACUUUGAGCCAGAAAAAGAGGGAUCACUCACCCAUUCUCCAUCAGAUACUAAGCUGCUGACUGCCUCAAGGACGAACUUCUCUCCCUUGGCUUUCCAGGCUUGGCCAGAUAGGUAGAGAGAACAUGGACGAACAUUUACCGUGUCAGGCAUGGAGCAGAUUGCCUUAUAUAGUUUUCUCAUCUAAUUCCCAGGACCACCCUCUGAAGCAGGAACUAUUGUUACCGCUGCUUUAUAGACAAAGCGACCUAAGGAACCAAAAGCAUCCAGUUCAGCACCUGGCCCACAGCAGACACUCAGUGAAUGUUGAUUUGAGCAAAUGAACUGAUAGAAAGAAAUGUCUCCUGUAAUUGCUUCUUACCAAUCUAGCCAACAACGGCAGCAUUGUGGAUGGAGGCACCAGAGAACACAUCAUCUCUGGCUUUUUGCUGCAGAUCUACAUGGAGAAUCACACAUGGGGCGACAAAGAUUCUCAAGGCCAGAUCCCGCAGAAAUGUCUGAAAGGAAACUUUAAAAAAUGAAUCCGUACGGGUUUUUUGUUGUUGUUGUUGUUGCAGCAUUGUCUAAUAUCAUAUGACUGGAAACAACCUAAAUGUUCGUCAAUAGGGAACUAGUUAAAUAAGUUAUGGUAUAUCAUCAUACAGUGGAAUACUAUGCAGUUGUAAAAAAAAAAAAAGAAAGAAUAAAGAAGCAUUUGCUGACAUGGAAUGAUCUCCAAAAUAUAUUGUUAAAUGAAAAAACAAAGACGUAGAACAAUGUAUUGUAUACUACUGUGUGUAAAGUAAGGGUGGAGGAGAAUAUCUAUGUACUUGCUUGAAUGCACGUAAAGGCAUCUCUGCAAGAGAUCUAAGAGACUGACGACACCGGGUGACAAUGGAGGACUGGGAGAAAGCAGUGGACGGGAGACUUUGCGUUGCACAUUCGUUCUCUUACGCCAUUUACCUUUGUAACCAUGUGAAUGUAUUAUGUGGCCAAAAAUAAAUGUAAAAAGAACGAAAUCACA